AUUUAUCAUGAGCUGAACUCAAAGAAUCUAAGACUUUCUCUAUGUACACAAAAGACCUACUUCUCUCAAAUAUUGUUCACAAAUCUGUCUAAAUCUGUGUUACUUCUCCUUUGACGAGAUAAUCCAUCCACCUCACAGGUGUGGCAUAUCAAGAUGCUGAUUAGACAGCAUGAUUAUUGCACAGGAGUCACAUAAUAUGUCGGGGUUGGCUGGCCUUCCCUAAUCACUUUUAUGUUGAGGUUGGCUGGCCUUCCCUAGUCACUUUCAUGUUGAGGUUGGCUGGCCUUCCCUAGUCACUUUCAUGCUGGGGUUGGCUGGCCUUCCCUAGUCACUUUCAUGCUGGGGUUGGCUGGCCUUCCCUAGUCACUUUCAUGCUGGGGUUGGCUGGCCUUCCCUAGUCACUUUCAUGUUGAGGUUGGCUGGCCUUCCCUAGUCACUUUCAUGUUGAGUUUGGCUGGCCUUCCCUAGUCACUUUCAUGCUGGGGUUGGCUGGCCUUCCCUAGUCACUUUCAUGCUGGGGUUGGCUGGCCUUCCCUAGUCACUUUCAUGCUGGGGUUGGCUGGCCUUCCCUAGUCAUCCACAGACUCAGUCCCUGGGAUACUUUCAUUUACAAAGACAUUCUGGGUUUGCUAUGUUCUUAUUUAUGAGUUUUAAUUCUUCCGAAAUGUGGUGGGUACUCGUUGUUAUCCCGAUAACUGUCCCACUUGCCCUCACGGAACUUUGGGGCUUUUAUGGAAUCUGUCCCAUCGGCUUACACAAUAGUUUUGAAUUGGAGGAACUUGGCCCUUUUGGUAUUUUUAGAUCAUUGAU
Long non-coding RNA from Esox lucius (northern pike), 810 nucleotides. Lineage: Eukaryota; Metazoa; Chordata; Actinopteri; Esociformes; Esocidae. The record is from Ensembl.